AUGGGCUCGAAGCUCCUCAGCUAUGUGGCCUUCUGCCUCUUGGGAGUAGGCCCCUUGGAGACGGCUGUUCUCCAGACCCCAAAAUAUCUUGUCACACAGGUGGGAAAUGACGUGUCUCUCAAGUGUGAGCAAAAUCUGGGCCACGAUGCUAUGUUCUGGUACAAGCAAGACUAUGAGCUGAAGAUUAUGUUCAGCUACAAUAAUAAACAACGCAUUUUAAACGAAACGGUCCCAAGCCGCUUCUCACCUCAGGCUCCGGAUAAAGCCCAUUUGAAUCUUCAUGUGAAGUCUGUAGAGCGGGAUGACUCAGCUGCCUAUUUCUGUGCCAGCAGCUAUGACACAGUCAUGCAGAGAAGCCGUUUUCCUGUGCACAAACCCAGCCAGCCAGGAAGCAGAGGAGACCGAGUGUUAACCCACACCCGAGCUCCAUGUCACCUCCACCCCCCGCCUGGUACUUUUGGAAGCCCAAUGAUGUCUCAGCCUACAGCCCUGCCUCCUGUGAUAAUACCUGAGGUGAAUCAGUGUUGUGUUUCAUGCACAGGCGAGUCUCAGAAUUCUGCAGACUAG
Psammomys obesus (fat sand rat) is the source of this 567-nucleotide non-coding RNA. The record is from the annotation of a RefSeq genome assembly. Lineage: Eukaryota; Metazoa; Chordata; Mammalia; Rodentia; Muridae.